CCAGCCUGCCCAGUGACAAAGUUUAACGGCCGCGGUACCCUAACCGUGCGAAGGUAGCAUAAUCACUUGUUCUUUAAAUAGGGACUCGUAUCAACGGCAUCACGAGGGCUAUACUGUCUCCUUUCUCCAAUCAGUGAAACUGAUCUUCCCGUGAAGAAGCGGGAAUUAUUGUAUAAGACGAGAAGACCCCAUGGAGCUUAAAACUCAAUAUAUACCUCUACGCAUUUAUAUCACUAUAGCCUAAGAAAAUUAUAUAUUAGUUUUGGGUUGGGGGGACCGCGGAGAAAAAAUUAACCUCCACGACAAAUAGGCCAACGCCUUUAUCUAUGAACCACAAUUCUAAGAAUCAAUAAACUGAUGUUUAAUGAUCCAAUUUUUUGAUCAACGAACCAAGUUACCCUGGGGAUAACAGCGCAAUCUACUUCAAGAGCUCCUAUCGACAAGUGGGUUUACGACCUCGAUGUUGGAUCAGGGUAUCCUAGUGGUGCAGCCGCUACUAAAGGUUCGUUUGUUCAACGAUUAAAACCCUACGUGAUCU
This 538-nucleotide ribosomal RNA is filed under the name Pelophylax kurtmuelleri (Balkan frog). RNAcentral describes it as "partial 16S ribosomal RNA". It matches the Rfam family "Bacterial large subunit ribosomal RNA", at positions 1854 to 2606 of the family's 2925-position model. The record is from RNAcentral. Lineage: Eukaryota; Metazoa; Chordata; Amphibia; Anura; Ranidae.